AGCUGUUCCCCUCUGGAGGUUUCAGAUCUCCACACUUCAUGGGCCGCGGUAUCCGCUGGCCCAUUUUUUUUAUUUUU
Molecule: small RNA, 77 nt
Filed under: Neorhizobium alkalisoli
Lineage: Bacteria; Pseudomonadati; Pseudomonadota; Alphaproteobacteria; Hyphomicrobiales; Rhizobiaceae
Description: suhB
Rfam family: Alphaproteobacterial ar15 (bases 1-68)
Source: RNAcentral